UACGAAGGGGGGCUAGCGUUGCUCGGAAUGACUGGGCGUAAAGGGCGCGUAGGCGGCGAUCACAGUCAGAUGUGAAAUUCCUGGGCUUAACCUGGGGGCUGCAUUUGAUACGUGGUUGCUUGAGUGGGGAAGAGGGUCGUGGAAUUCCCAGUGUAGAGGUGAAAUUCGUAGAUAUUGGGAAGAACACCGGUGGCGAAGGCGGCGACCUGGUCCUUGACUGACGCUGAGGCGCGAAAGCGUGGGGGAGCAAACAGG
Molecule: ribosomal RNA, 255 nt
Filed under: uncultured bacterium
Lineage: Bacteria
Description: partial 16S ribosomal RNA
Rfam family: Bacterial small subunit ribosomal RNA
Source: RNAcentral